UACGUAGGGUGCGAGCGUUAAUCGGAAUUACUGGGCGUAAAGCGUGCGCAGGCGGUUCGUUGUGUCGGCGGUGAAAGCCCCGGGCUUAACCUGGGAAUGGCCGUUGAAACUGGCGAACUGGGAGUGUGGCAGAGGGGGGUGGAAUUCCGCGUGUAGCAGUGAAAUGCGUAGAGAUGCGGAGGAACACCAGUGGCGAAGGCGGCUCACUGGCCCGGUACUGACGCUGAGGCACGAAAGCGUGGGGAGCAAACAGG
Molecule: ribosomal RNA, 254 nt
Filed under: uncultured bacterium
Lineage: Bacteria
Description: partial 16S ribosomal RNA
Rfam family: Bacterial small subunit ribosomal RNA
Source: RNAcentral